UGCCCAGUGCAGGGAGGGCUUGGCUCAGCUCUGAGCGGAAUGGAAGACUGCAGCUCGCCUGCGCUUCUCUCUCUCGUCUCAGCUCAAAGCGGCACGGUUCGAGAGUCUUACUCGACUCUCUCCAGUGGAACAGUAUGCAGGACCUUAAAUGUAGAGAGAAGGAUUGAGAAGAGCGACUGUGCAGCGGGGUCCGGUGUAGUCCUCUGUGUCUCCUCUGUGUCUCUCUCUGCCAAGGUGAAGAGAUUCAUCCCCAGGCACCCAAUCCAUUAUCCUGUCAACAACAGCAGGUCCCUGCCACAGUUAGCAGCAACACUGUGACUGGCCGUAAUGAAAUCAUCAGUAAUCCCAAAACUCAUCUCAUCAUAGCCAAGGUGAGAGAGAGCCAUUCUAUGAUUGGCUGCCCGUCUGCUCCAUAUUCAGAGGUGCUGGAUGAGGCAGAGGGCCCGCUGGGAAAAUGGUGUUGUAAUCAGGAGCCGGCUGUGCUGCCUGAUCAGGCUGGUGGGGUCCAAGCACCAGGCGCAGAUGUUAGGGACGGGCUGGCGAGGAUGCACCUGUAGUCACUCCAUCAUGUGGCAAAA
Molecule: RNA transcript, 578 nt
Organism: Pimephales promelas (fathead minnow)
Lineage: Eukaryota; Metazoa; Chordata; Actinopteri; Cypriniformes; Leuciscidae
Source: RefSeq, a predicted model, not a curated record